Molecule: transfer RNA, 70 nt
Filed under: Pandion haliaetus
Lineage: Eukaryota; Metazoa; Chordata; Aves; Accipitriformes; Pandionidae
Description: tRNA-His
Rfam family: tRNA
About the family: Transfer RNA (tRNA) molecules are approximately 80 nucleotides in length. Their secondary structure includes four short double-helical elements and three loops (D, anti-codon, and T loops). Further hydrogen bonds mediate the characteristic L-shaped molecular structure. tRNAs have two regions of fundamental functional importance: the anti-codon, which is responsible for specific mRNA codon recognition, and the 3' end, to which the tRNAs corresponding amino acid is attached (by aminoacyl-tRNA synthetases). tRNAs cope with the degeneracy of the genetic code in two manners: having more than one tRNA (with a specific anti-codon) for a particular amino acid; and 'wobble' base-pairing, i.e. permitting non-standard base-pairing at the 3rd anti-codon position.
Source: RNAcentral
GCAAACAUAGUUUCAACAAAAACAUUAGAUUGUGAUUCUAAAAACAGAAGUUAAAGCCUUCUUGUCUGCC